UAUAGUGAAAUUUUCUAGUUGAUCACAUUAUUCUGCGUGAAUUAUCCUAUAGUUAUGUUUGUGAGUGUGUCUUAUCAUUUAGCAUUUCUCAUUUCUUGGAUCAAGAUAAGCAGUAGGUAAGUAUUGUGAAUGAAUUGAAUUAAGUUAAUUCUUUCGAUGCAGUUGUUCUUUGUCUGCUUUCUAGUGCUCAAGAAAUAGAAAUUUAAAAGUUUGAUAAUCUUGUCGUUGCCCAACUAUUAGCAAUAGAGAUACAUUGUCGAAAGUUUAUCAAGAGUAAGAAAAGAUGGAAAAAAUAGAGGGGCUGGAGAAUGGGUAGAAUAUAUAAUUUGUAGAAAUAAUGUGUUAUGACAAGGAGAACGAAGGAUGCUGCAAAUGAAUAAGGGACUAUGGGGCUGAAAUUGUAAUAAAAGAAGAGUAUAGAAGUUAGCAGGGAAUUAGUUAGAUGGUGGCAGGAAUAGUUAUUUCUUUACAAGAAUACAUAAAAAUAGGGUAGCUUGUAUCAAGGAAGAUUCAUUCAAGAAUCAAAUACAAGAAAUAUCUCUUCUUCUCUAUUUUCUCUCUAAACCUCCUCCCAUCUUUUCUCAAUCCAAUCUAUUCCCCUCCUUUCCUCUCCCUAUUUCUCUGUUUAAAAUGGCAUUGCAGGCUGGACAUGUAACAAUUGGUAUCAGAGCUUUGUCGAGGAUGGGCUUUGCUUCCAGUUAAAUAUAUGGGAGUUGCAAUCAGGAGCAGAUCAGUAGCAGUCCUCCAAGUUACAGGUUUCUCCUGCUCUCUUUCUUCUUCUAUUUUGCCUUCUUUCCUCCAAUUUUCUUUCUUCCUCCUCAAAUUUCUUUCUUUCCCUUUCUUUCUUCUUUCUUCUUGACAGAACCUUUCUUCUUCUUUCCCUGAGAAUUCUUCUCCUUAUUCCUCUAUUCCUUCCUUCUUUCUUUUCCAGAAUUUUCUUCCUUAAACAGAAAAUUCUUCCAUAUCUUUCCUACUGUUAUUGCUCUGUUUCUUCUUCUUCUUAGCAGAACCCUGUUUCUGCUCUUCUUUCUUUCUUCUGGUAAUCCAUAUUUCCUUCCUCCUUUUCUAAUUUCUUCUUUCCCAAGAAUUCUGAAGUUAGGGUUUCUUUCUUCAAUUUUGGAAACCCCUCUUUCGUCCUCCACUUCCUGCUUUCUUUCUUGAAAUUCUUCUCUAUUCUUGAUCUUAUUGAAUCUUUUCUUUCUUCUGUUCUUUCUCUCUCUUGAGACUCUUUAUCCUCUAUUUUCCUCCUUCAAUUUCUUUGCUUUUUGGGAAAGUACCAACAGCAGAACAUGGAAUUAGAAGAGAUUCUUCUGGGUAUGCUUGGAAGUUUUGAAAGAUGGGAAAAGAAAAUGGAAAAUUUUGAGAAGUCGAUUAAGUGAAAAUAGAACUCCAAGGGUCUGAAUCAGAAUUGAAUGUCCAGAUCCAAGACCAAGAAUCUGAGGAUCCUUGGAAUAAUGGCUACGAAAGGGAAUUGUCGGCUCAAAAAAGAGAGACAAGGCAAUCUGGUGUUAAGGGUGAAACUCAGCUGUUUGAUGAUGAAGAAAAGGAGUUUGAUAUUAUUAGUGAUAGAGAAGAGGAAGAUGAUGAUAUUGUUGGUGAUGGAGAAGAGGAAGAUGUUGACAUUGUUGGUGAUCGAGAUGAGGAUGAUGUUGACAUUAUUGGUGAUGGAGAGGAGAAUGUUAACACUGCGAUUAAGCAGGAGGCAAAUUCUGUUGAUGAGCAGGAGUUUUUUUGUUGAUAUGUCCAAUAUAAGUGACGUCUAUUAGGAGGAGAAUGAUGAAGAUGGUGAUGAUGGGCAACUAGAGUCUGAAAUGAGGAAAAUAUUAGUUGAAUCUGAAGUUUUUGAACUACUCGUUCCCAAAGUUGAAUGUUUUGCUAUUGAAACUCUUGGAAAUGUUCUUCAAAAAAGAAAGAUGAAGCCUCCAGCAAAGUGUAUGGUGAAGGGUUUGCAGAUGAGGACAAGGAACAUGAUUGCUCCGGGGUUACUAUUGAUUUAGUUGCGCACCACAAAGUCCAUAAAACUGGGACUUUUUGGAGCAAUGGAGGUGAAGCGCUUACCAAUUCAAGAGGGUAAAACUGAUGGCUUAGAACAAUAAUUGGGGGCUAGUAAGUUCCUUGCUUUUGAUGGUGAAAUGGAAAACUUCAACAACAUAGUGCAACCUUCAAAUCCAGGAGCCCAUGGUAUUAUUCUUGAUCUUGGCUAUAUUGAAAUUUUAGAAAAAGUGCUGGUGGUGCCAUAAAAAAAAUUUGGAUUGGUACAAGUUAAUUGGGACUGGGAUGCUUCCAUUGUUGAGAUUUAUGAGAAGGGUUCUCAUGAAGAAAAAGCUAAAGCGAUUGAAGAAACAGGGAAUGUUGCAAGUAAGUGACAAUAUUUUGAAGACCAUGAUGUUUUGUUCUAUUCUUGUGAAUUCCUAAUCUCCAUGGUGGAUAAAUGGGAGAUAUUAAGAAGGAAGAAGCAGAAAGUAAUCUUGACAGGAGCUGCAUGUGUAAUUCUGAAAGAAGAUAUGUUUGGAAAGAUAGGGAAGGCAAAGAGAGAAAGGCAAAUAUGAAGAAAGGAAGUCCAGUUUCAGUAUAAUGUGAAUUUCAUUACAGUUCCUAAUAGUAAUUUGUGCUGAUCGUUUUUCUCUCUCUUCAUUCUUGAGGACAUAGAAUGAUUUCAAGAAGUGGGGAAUGUUAUGAUAAGGAGAAUGAAGGAUGUUACAAAUGAAUAAGGGACUUUGGGGCUGAAAUUGUAAUAAAAGAAGAGUAUAGAAGUUAGUAGGGAAUUAGUUAGAUAGUGGCAGGAAUAGUUAUUUCUUUACAAGAAUACAUAUAAAUAGGGUAGCUUGUGUCAAGGAAGAUUCAUUCAACAAUCAAAUACAAGAAAUUAUCUCUUUUCUAUUUUCUCUCUAAACCUCCUUCCCUUUCUGUUUAUUUUCUCAAUCCAAUCUAUCCUCUCCUUUCCUCUCCCUAUUUCUCUGUUUCAAGUGGCAUUGCAGGGUGGAACAUAAUGUUCCGGUGAAUAAUUCUUCUUCA
Molecule: long non-coding RNA, 3015 nt
Filed under: Manihot esculenta (cassava)
Lineage: Eukaryota; Viridiplantae; Streptophyta; Magnoliopsida; Malpighiales; Euphorbiaceae
Description: long non-coding RNA (MESC_LNC006754)
Source: RNAcentral